This 497-nucleotide ribosomal RNA is filed under the name uncultured bacterium. RNAcentral describes it as "partial 16S ribosomal RNA". It matches the Rfam family "Bacterial small subunit ribosomal RNA", at positions 28 to 507 of the family's 1533-position model. The record is from RNAcentral.
GAUGAACGCUGGCGGCGUGCCUAAUACAUGCAAGUCGAGCGAACAGACGAGGAGCUUGCUCCUCUGACGUUAGCGGCGGACGGGUGAGUAACACGUGGAUAACCUACCUAUAAGACUUGGAUAACUUCGGGAAACCGGAGCUAAUACCGGAUAAUAUAUUGAACCGCAUGGUUCAAUAGUGAAAGACGGUUUUGCUGUCACUUAUAGAUGGAUCCGCGCCGCAUUAGCUAGUUGGUAAGGUAACGGCUUACCAAGGCAACGAUGCGUAGCCGACCUGAGAGGGUGAUCGGCCACAUUAGAACUGACACAAGGACCAGACUCUUAAGGGAGGCCGCAGUAGGGCAUCUUCCGCAAUGGGCGAAAGCCUGACGGAGCAACGACGUGUGAGUGAUGAAGGUAUUCGGAUCGUAAAACUCUGUUAUUAGGGAAGAACAAAUGUGUAAGUAACUAUGCACGUAUUGACGGUACCUAAUCAGACAGAAACGGAUACCUACGUG